CCGACGCCAGGGACGUCUUGGAGAACAAGUUGCUCCCGUUGAGAAGAGGCUACAUUGGCGUGGUGAACCGCAGCCAGAAGGAUAUUGAAGGCAAGAAGGACAUCCGUGCAGCACUGGCAGCUGAGAGGAAGUUCUUCCUCUCCCACCCGGCCUACCGGCACAUGGCCGACCGCAUGGGCACGCCACAUCUGCAGAAGACGCUGAAUCAGCAACUGACCAACCACAUCCGGGAGUCGCUGCCGGCCCUACGUAGCAAACUACAGAGCCAGCUGCUGUCCCUGGAGAAGGAGGUGGAGGAGUACAAGAACUUUCGGCCCGACGACCCCACCCGCAAAACCAAAGCCCUGCUGCAGAUGGUCCAGCAGUUUGGGGUGGAUUUUGAGAAGAGGAUCGAGGGCUCAGGAGAUCAGGUGGACACACUGGAGCUCUCCGGGGGCGCCCGAAUCAAUCGCAUCUUCCAUGAGCGGUUCCCAUUUGAGCUGGUGAAGAUGGAGUUUGACGAGAAGGACUUACGACGGGAGAUCAGCUAUGCCAUUAAGAACAUCCAUGGAGUCAGGCAAGUUCCACGAGGAGAGUCACCACUGUUCCUUCCUCUCCGCGGUGCCACCCCCCAGCUAAUUGGGUCGCCCACACCUCUGAGUCCCUAAUCGUUAGGCCUUAAGAGGGCUCUUGGAUGGUCUUCUGUAGCUGCGAGCCCCUCCCUGAGGGUCUCCAAGGGCACGUGAGGGUGGAUGUGUCUUAGUCCUGCGUCCGUUGCAGGCUUCGGGGCUGUCUGCAGCUCCUGAUCAAAUAGGGCUUAGUUCCUGCCCAGUCGGUUGGUGUGAACCUCAUGCUAAACUAAGAAUGCUCACUGCAGAUUUGCC
Molecule: small RNA, 863 nt
Filed under: Pan troglodytes (chimpanzee)
Lineage: Eukaryota; Metazoa; Chordata; Mammalia; Primates; Hominidae
Description: retained intron
Source: RNAcentral